ACCCCCCCCCACUGUCCCUGCCACUCCGGGAUGGGGGGGCAUUCACCCCACACUGACCCCCCCCCAUUGCAGCCAAGAAACUGGUGUCGCAGCUCCUGGAGGUGGAUCAGGACCAGAGGAUCACGGCGCAGGAGGCCCUGGGACAUGUCUGGAUUGCGGGCAACGUGGCUUCGGAAAAGAACCUCAAGGAGGGGGUCUGUGCCCAGAUCGAGAAGAACUUUGCCAAAGCCAAAUGGCGGAAGGCCAUUCGAGUCACAACCUUCAUGCAGCGGCUCCGCGCCCUGGAGCCUGGCGUCCACCCCCCCAUGUCGCUCCCCGAGGUGACGGUGGAGGAGCCCCGCCCCACAGAACCCCCCACCAUGGAGCGACCGAGUGAGCCAGCGGGGCCCACGGAAGAAAAGACGCAAUAACCCCUUUGUACAGCUCCGUGCACCCGGAUCGGACCCAGCGCCCCCUAGAGGGGAAAGGCCCCGGGGCCCAUUCCCAACCUGGCUCUGUCCCCACCCCUGCCCCCAGCUCAGGACCGGCCCAUGGGACUGGGAUGUGCAUGUCCAUCCAUCCAGGCCAGGUGCAUGUUUUCUGAAGAUGCUAUUUUAAUACAGAAAUCCCAGGCUGCCCCCCGCCCCCCUUGGACUUGAUCUUGUCCCCCCUGCACCUACAGGGAGCCUGGAAAUAACAAAAUAAACAGAGAUUCUGUCUCUGGCA
This 705-nucleotide long non-coding RNA is filed under the name Chrysemys picta bellii (western painted turtle). RNAcentral's name for it is "lncRNA (ENSCPBG00000000729.1)". The record is from RNAcentral. Lineage: Eukaryota; Metazoa; Chordata; Testudines; Emydidae.